AUUAAACAGCCAAUAGCUUAGAAUGAAUAAAAAUCCUAAACGUUUUCGGGUUGGCGUGGAACGCAGGCUUGGGGUAAAGUGGAACGCACGCGAAGAUCUGUUACAUCAAUCUCGGCUCGUCACCUCCUCUCAGCCGAGGGAGGUCCCUGUGUCCUGCAGCUCCCUGUCUCUCCAGAUAUGCCAGUUUUUUUUCAUAUUAUUGUGAGUGUUUUUAAUCUCAUUUAAAAUAAAUUCAGUGUUUUUAUAGAGAGCAUUAUGGCUUCUUCAUUUAUCUUUCAGAGCAAAGUGAAGAUCUUGCCACUUUAGAUCUGUCACUGUGAUCUGAAAGUGAUUAAUCAUCUCUUUGGACUGCAUUGCAUCUCAGCUUAAGGUUUAUUCCUUCCAGAGAACGGAU
This is a non-coding RNA of Pelobates cultripes (western spadefoot toad), 394 nucleotides long. Lineage: Eukaryota; Metazoa; Chordata; Amphibia; Anura; Pelobatidae. The record is from the annotation of a GenBank genome assembly.